RNAcentral lists this unclassified non-coding RNA (220 nucleotides) under Hevea brasiliensis (rubber tree). Lineage: Eukaryota; Viridiplantae; Streptophyta; Magnoliopsida; Malpighiales; Euphorbiaceae. The record is from RNAcentral.
CGUUGUUCAUUAACAUCAAAGAAUAUUUGCUUGUGGUGUCUUUGUCUCCACCAUAUAAGAAAACCGAAUCCAAGAAUCAACAGGCAGACACAACCCAAGCUUGAACCAAAGGCCAAGGCAAUUUUUUCCCACUUCCAGAAGGUUGAGAGUUUUGUGAGCCAUUCAAGAACAAAGAUUGUGGAGUCGGUAUUGAUCCAGGACAGUCUUUUGCAGUUCCACA